GUUUUGGCAAAAAAAAAAAAAAGCUCUUUUUGCAGGUCAACUUCUUUUUAAAAUUGUUUCGAUCUGUAAGUCUGUUCUGUUCCUUGAUGAGUGUACUUUGUAUUGGGUAUUUGAAUUGGUAUGCGGAUGCUUGCGUGGGCUGGUUCUCUUUUCGUAUUUCCCUGUUUGGUUGCCGAGAAAAAGAGCUGGGUACUAUGAAAGCAGAGGAAAGAGAAAUGUUUGCUGCAUUUGCCCAAAUGGCUGUUUUGUUCUCAGUAGGAAUUCAUCCACGAUAACAGAUCAGGCGUCGAGAAAUCCUCAUUAACUUCAGCUAGGUGUGUGAAUGGAUGGGAUUAUCAAUAAGGAAUAAGCAGUCAAAUCAAAAGCAAAACGCGAGAAAGAGGAGAUGAGGGAGGAAUCAACCGGACUGAUCAUUGGGAUUUCUAUUGGCGUAGUUAUUGGUGUCGUUUUGGCUAUUUCUGCACUUUUCUGUGUCAGAUACCAUAGGAAGCGAUCGCAGAUUGGGAGUAGCAGUUCACGGAGGGCGGCUACGAUACCCAUCCGUACAAAUGGAGCUGAUUCUUGUACCGUUCUAUCGGACUCAACCUUAGGCCCAGAAUCUCCUGUUAAGUCGGGACGAAAUGGCAUGUCCUUCUGGUUUGAUGGCUUCAAGAGAAACAACGUCGUUUCAGCUUCUGGAAUACCAGAGUAUCCUUACAAGGAUUUGCAGAAGGCGACCUGUAAUUUUACAACACUUAUAGGACAAGGUGCAUUUGGUCCCGUUUAUAAAGCUCACAUGUCCACUGGCGAGACCGUUGCAGUUAAAGUUCUUGCAACUAAUUCUAAGCAAGGAGAAAGAGAAUUCCAUACAGAGGUUAUGUUGUUGGGAAGGCUGCAUCAUAGGAACCUUGUUAAUUUGGUUGGAUAUUGCGCAGAGAAGGGACAACAUAUGCUUGUAUAUGUCUAUAUGAGCAAAGGCAGCUUGGCUUCCCACCUGUACAGUAAGGAGAACGGAGCAAUGAGCUGGGAUUUGAGAGUUCACAUUGCUCUAGAUAUAGCGAGAGGCUUGGAGUAUCUUCAUGAUGGGGCAGUUCCUCCGGUAAUCCACCGAGAUAUCAAGUCCUCAAACAUUUUGCUAGACCAGUCCAUGAGAGCCAGGGUUGCUGAUUUUGGACUCUCAAGAGAAGAGAAGGUGGACAAGCACGCAGCCAUCCGGGGCACUUUUGGGUAUCUAGACCCAGAGUACAUAUCCUCAGGAACAUUCACCAAGAAAAGUGACGUGUACAGUUAUGGAGUUUUGCUUUUUGAACUCAUAGCAGCCAGAAAUCCUCAACAAGGUCUUAUGGAAUUAGUUGAGCUAGCUUCAAUGAACAGUGAGGGGAAAAUGGGGUGGGAGGAGAUAGUGGACUCUGCAUUAGAAGGGGAAUAUGAUGCAGAGGAGCUGAAUGAAGUAGCGGGGCUCGCAUACAAAUGCAUAAACCGGGCACCAAGGAAGCGACCUUCCAUGAGAGACGUGGUUCAAGUACUCACGAGGAUCCUUAAAACCAGAAAAUCUAAAAACCGUCGCAGGGCAGAUGAAGUGUGCAUUGAUGUGGAUCAGGCUGAAGCAAGGAUUCAUCGCAGAGAAGAAUCUAUGGACAGUGCAGCUGACACCUAUGAAGUGUAGAAUAACAUUGCUCUUAACUUCUUCUCAGUUUUGGGUUUUUCUGUUAUAUAUAUAAUGUCCUAGUUGUUCCUACAUCCUGGAAUUUGUAUAUUACUUCAUGAGUGCAAGUGAAAAGGUAGGGAGGGGGGUGGAUGGAAGAAAGGUUCCGGGCCCACCAGAUGGCCAUACCUCAUAUUCUGAUUUCCCUUUCCAUGGUUGCUUCUGCAUCAA
Neltuma alba is the source of this 1855-nucleotide RNA transcript. It is a transcript of the gene named calcium/calmodulin-regulated receptor-like kinase 1, with no coding region annotated. Lineage: Eukaryota; Viridiplantae; Streptophyta; Magnoliopsida; Fabales; Fabaceae. The record is from RefSeq and is a predicted model, not a curated record. The transcript has 10 exons.